This 239-nucleotide long non-coding RNA is filed under the name Elaeis guineensis (African oil palm). RNAcentral's name for it is "long non-coding RNA (EGUI_LNC019755)". The record is from RNAcentral. Lineage: Eukaryota; Viridiplantae; Streptophyta; Magnoliopsida; Arecales; Arecaceae.
GCAGCUGUCCUGGUUAAGGAAUAAGCAAAAAUUCAACGACCGAUCUAUUACAUAAGUCGAGUAUUGAGAGACGCCGAAAUCAGGUACACUAAAUUAGAGAAACUAACUUACGCCCUGUUAAUUGCAGCCCGAAGGCUCCGAUCUUACUUUCAAAGGCACACCAUAACACUGCUCACCGACCAGUCGAUUAAGGCAGUUCUGCAUCGAACGGAUGCUUCCAGAAGGAUAGCGAAAUGGAU